RNAcentral lists this ribosomal RNA (253 nucleotides) under uncultured prokaryote. RNAcentral's name for it is "partial 16S ribosomal RNA". It matches the Rfam family "Bacterial small subunit ribosomal RNA", at positions 524 to 776 of the family's 1533-position model. The record is from RNAcentral.
AACGUAGGGGACAAGCGUUAUCCGGAUUUACUGGGCGUAAAGCGCCCGUAGGCGGCUUUUUAAGUUGGACGUGAAAGCUCCCGGCUUAACUGGGAGAGGCCGUUCAAAACUGAGAAGCUCGAGUGAGGAAGAGGAGAGCAGAAUUCCCGGUGUAGUGGUGGAAUGCGUAGAGAUCGGGAGGAAUACCAGUGGCGAAAGCGGCUCUCUGGUCCUAAACUGACGCUGAGGGGCGAAAGCGUGGGGAGCGAACGGG